Hyaena hyaena (striped hyena) is the source of this 300-nucleotide long non-coding RNA. RefSeq lists it as uncharacterized. Lineage: Eukaryota; Metazoa; Chordata; Mammalia; Carnivora; Hyaenidae. The record is from RefSeq and is a predicted model, not a curated record. The transcript is spliced from 3 exons.
UACGCACCUGUUGGUUAGCCACACUUUGACAGGUCUAGAAAGCAAGGGCAUAUGAGAGUUUCUGGUUAGGAACCAUCAGUUAAGUUCACUUCAAACUUGUGAUCCCAACAGAAUGAGUAGCUAAGCUGCCGGCCACUCACAUCGUUAAGAAAGAAUACAACAAACCAGGAGAGAUACAGCAGAGAUUGAGUAUAAUUGAACCUGUCUCUUCAGAAUCUUACACUCGGUGGGUGCAUAAACAGCAGACUGCACUUGUAACUGGCAAACCAGGACCACUGAAGGGAGGACAUCCAACUCAGG